CAACCAUAGAACUGCAUCCAAAACUAUUGGGCUAGAGUGUGGGAGAGGAAGAUGGAAUUAGUUGUGUAGGGGUAAAAUCCGUAGAGAUAACUAGGAAUACCAAAAGCGAAGGCAAUCUUCUGGAACAUUACUGACGCUGAGGCGCGAAAGCGUGGGGAGCAAACAGGAUUAGAUACCCUGGUAGUCCACGCCCUAAACGAUGAAUGUUAGUCGUCGGUUAGCUAGUCUAAUCGGUGAUGCAGCUAACGCAUUAAACAUUCCGCCUGGGGAGUACGGUCGCAAGAUUAAAACUCAAAGGAAUAGACGGGGACCCGCACAAGUGGUGGAGCAUGUGGUUUAAUUCGAAGAUACGCGAAGAACCUUACCUAGCCUUGACAUAUAUUAGAACACUUUAGAGAUAGAGUGGUGCCUUCGGGAGCUUUUAUACAGGUGCUGCACGGCUGUCGUCAGCUCGUGUCGUGAGAUGUUGGGUUAAGUCCCGCAACGAGCGCAACCCUCGUCACUAGUUACUAACGGUUCGGCCGAGGACUCUAGUGAGACUGCCUUCGCAAGGAGGAGGAAGGUGAGGACGACGUCAAGUCAUCAUGGCCCUUACGGCUAGGGCAACACACGUGCUACAAUGGCCAGGACAAUGAGAAGCGAUACUGCGAGGUGGAGCAAAUCUAUAAACCUGGUCUCAGUUCGGAUUGUAGUCUGCAACUCGACUACAUGAAGCUGGAAUCACUAGUAAUCGUAGAUCAGCUAUGCUACGGUGAAUACGUUCCCGGGUCUUGUACUCACCGCCCGUCACACCAUGGGAGUUGAUUUCACCCGAAGCGGGGAAGCUAAACUGGCUACCCUCCACGGUGGAAUCAGCGACUGGGGUGAAGUCGUAACAAGGUA
RNAcentral lists this ribosomal RNA (882 nucleotides) under uncultured Sulfurovum sp. RNAcentral's name for it is "bacterial SSU rRNA". It matches the Rfam family "Bacterial small subunit ribosomal RNA", at positions 610 to 1498 of the family's 1533-position model. The record is from RNAcentral. Lineage: Bacteria; Pseudomonadati; Campylobacterota; Epsilonproteobacteria; Campylobacterales; Sulfurovaceae.